Long non-coding RNA from Cyprinus carpio carpio, 2733 nucleotides. The record is from Ensembl. Lineage: Eukaryota; Metazoa; Chordata; Actinopteri; Cypriniformes; Cyprinidae.
AAAUUGAAAAAAAGUAUUAAUUUCUAUAAUAAUUAAUUUAUUUCAGAUAAAUGCUGAUCUUUGCCAAUCUUUCUAUUGGAUCUUUCUUACUGUUCAAAAAUUUUUGACUGGUAGAAAAUAUGUAGCAUAUGUAUCACACUCAUAUCACAUCUUGUUUUGGAAAAGAAUAAAAUGCCACGUCCAACAAUAUCGUGUCUUUUUUUUUUUUUGCAUUUGGGCCAUGGAAACCUCUAUGAACACACUUGACUUGGCCCAAAAAUCGCGGGGGACGGAUUUAUGUUUUAUUAAAAAGUGUUUAUGUAUUCUACACUCAUGGUGCGUGCUCACACAUUAGGAUAGGUUAGAUGCAUGCCUCUGUUUCGAGUCCCUAUCAAGCACUUCACCGAUUCAUCUGCUCUCUUCUCCUCCUCCUGUCUGGCACUUUGGCCCGCAUCCCCCACCUCAGAUCAAGCCUGUUCUUGAUAAAGCUGCUGUAAAAACGUGGGAAAAGCCUGCGAGGAAGAAGUUGGAUUGAAGCGAUCUUUAUAUGGGCAGAGCAAAAUACUUCACCGCUCCAUGUAUAGCGCAUUGUGAUUGGAUGUUUACACUGCCAAUACAGGAGACAAACCAAUGGGCCACUGGCUGCUCGCUUUCCCUGCGUGAUGGUCCUAGGCAAAAAAAUAAAAAAUAAACCUUUUCCCGGUGCGUCAGCCCACCGGGAAAAUGCCUGGUAUGCCGAUUACCAGUCCAGCCCUGGUCACUACUAACAAUCUCUCUGACCUGCUGUUGCAUUAUCAGUAAGCCUGCAUGAAUGGACCGACAAAAGUAGAUGACUCUAAAGGCAUCUCACUGUGCCACUGUCAUGACAUUCAACAGGCCUUUUCUGUCUGCUGUACAUGAAUAAAAAAAUAAAAAAUAAAAAACACAUAAAACAAACAGCGGGUACACUGAACUCAUUUGCUGGUUCCAGUUGACCCACCUUUUCAUGCAAUGUGCUGCUUCAGGUUCUCUGCAUUAAAACAUAAAAAAGAAAUAAUAAUAAUAAUAAUAAAUACAUAUGCUUAUACAUCUUUAUAACUAUCCUCUAAAGGAUGCAGAAUAAAAAUAUGCAGAUAUCUACUCAAAAAAAAAAAAAAUAAAUAAAAAAAAAAGAAGAAAGAGGAAAGCAAUGACUGGAGUUAGGAACUUUCCAUCUUGAAACAGAGUCUUGAAAAAAAACAACAUCUCCAAUUGAGUGAUUAAAAACAAGACCAAGACUCUUGACUAUUUCUAUCUUGUUGGUUCAGGUGCCUACUGGCCUCCAUAAUGAAAUAUCCCAGGCUUGACAUGUUUGCCUUCCCUUGCUGCAGAACACACAUUUGUUCUCCUUUUCCGCCUAGCUAAUGGCAUUAGCGUUGCACUAGUGGAGGGGGCCAUAAGUAAAACUGUUGCCCCGGAUAGAAAAGAGGCCAGUUGGCAUGGUGUUUGCUUCUCCUCGCUGUGAACAGAUAAAAUGAAUGAGAUUUGCAAAUGGUUGGAUAUACUUUGGCCAGCCUUUCAUGAUAAUGGAGGGAAUUUAUUAAGGGAGACUUGAGAAAGUGGUAUUAAUCAGGUCAGUUUGCUGCCUCCAGAGCUGUUAUGUCCCCUGCAAGGAUAUCGGGGUCAGUAAUGCCUUCACAUAAGUCAUGCUUGUCUCAAGUUGGUUGUUCCAAAGGUUGGCACCAGAGUCAGGCUGCCUUAUAACAGGCUGGCUGUGCUGCAUGGAGGCAGCUUGCUUGACCCCAGAUGUGAUUACGAUGAAGUGUAGACCAUGAUCCACUCAUAGAGCCAGUAAUAGCCUUUAGUUAGUAAACAGUGUUGAUAGCAAAUAACAGCAAAUGAGUGAGCACAGAAUUUUUACAAUUAUUGCAAAUAGAGAGGUGAUAAUUUUGCAAGAUGCCCAUGUAAAUUAUACUGUUAAUUUAUGUAUAUAAAGAUGCAGCAACAAAACAAAAGAAACAAGCUAAUAUGGUAUAUGUGAGGAAUUUACUGAGAAAACUGUAAAAGAUUAUUGGUCAUACUUUAGUUUGGGGAGCAAUUUUCAAUGUUAACUAACUAUUAACUAUGACUUUUGCCUCAGUAAUCACCUAAUUUGCUGCUUAUUAAUAGUUAUUAAGGAAAUUGUUCAAUUUAGUGGAUUAAGGAUUCUAAAAUACGGUCAUGCAGAAUAAUGCAAUAAUAUGUGCUUUAUAAGUACUAAUAAACUGCCAGUAUGCUAGUAAUAUGCAUGCUAAUAAGCAACUAGUUAAUGUUGAGAAUUGGUCCUUAAAAUAAAGUGUUACCGAUUAUUGCACUUAACAAGAUUGAUUGAAAUAUCUUGACAAGCACAGUUUUCUUUCCUUUGUUGGCAUAUUUACUGUUGAAACAGAAUAUUGAUAGGAUUGCCCUUUUAUUUGAAAUAGCCACUAGUUUUUAGUUUUCAUUCCGUUAUCCCUGAGGAGAAGUGCUGUACAGUUUAACAUGUAUAUCUGCAAUAUAUUUUGCCUGCUCAUUAGCAUAUAGAUGAGCUCAAAGUCAAUGACUAAAAACAAGAAAACUCUUUGAGAAGGAAGCUGUCGGGUUUUCUUUCAGAGAAAAACUACCAAUAAAUGGGGAAACAGACCUGGUAUUGCUAUAAGAAGUCCAUGACUUCAUCCUGCUGUCCAGGAAACUGCUUUCAUAUUUAGCUGUAUGUAUGGAGGCAUUUUAAUUCCUGAAAUCAAAUGCAUUUUCUGUCUCUGUUCCUGGAAAAUGUCU